RNAcentral lists this ribosomal RNA (303 nucleotides) under uncultured bacterium. Its description in RNAcentral is "bacterial SSU rRNA". It matches the Rfam family "Bacterial small subunit ribosomal RNA", at positions 9 to 310 of the family's 1533-position model. The record is from RNAcentral.
GAGUUUAAUCAUGGCUCAGGAUGAACGCUAGCUGGAGGCUUAAUACAUGCAAGUCGAGCGGGAUUGAGGUAGUAAUAUCUCAUGAGAGCGGCGAACGGGUGAGUAACGCGUACACGACCUACCUUUGACUGGGGGAUAGCCCUGGGAAACUGGGAUUAAUACCGCAUAUAAUUUCGAAUAGUAAAGGAUUUGGAAUGAAAGUUCAGGCGGUCAGAGAUGGGUGUGCGUCUGAUUAGCUAGUUGGUAAGGUAACGGCUUACCAAGGCGAUGAUCAGUAGGGGGCGUGAGAGCGUGGUCCCCCCA